CAUGGAGUUUGAUCCUGGCUCAGAUUGAACGCCGGCGGCAUGCUUUACACAUGCAAGUCGAACGGUAACAGGUUAAGCUGACGAGUGGCGAACGGGUGAGUAAUGCAUCGGAACGUGCCCGGUCGUGGGGGGAUAACGCAGCGAAAGCUGCGCUAAUACCGCAUACGAUCUGAGGAUGAAAGCGGGGGACCGUAAGGCCUCGCGCGAUCGGAGCGGCCGAUGUCAGAUUAGGUAGUUGGUGGGUAAAGCUCACCAAGCCGACGAUCUGUAGCUGGUCUGA
This 280-nucleotide ribosomal RNA is filed under the name uncultured Hydrogenophaga sp. RNAcentral's name for it is "partial 16S ribosomal RNA". It matches the Rfam family "Bacterial small subunit ribosomal RNA", at positions 1 to 295 of the family's 1533-position model. Lineage: Bacteria; Pseudomonadati; Pseudomonadota; Betaproteobacteria; Burkholderiales; Comamonadaceae. The record is from RNAcentral.